AUCCAGAUGACGAGUCCAAAAUAGGACGAAGUUAGAGUCUUAGAU
Molecule: non-coding RNA, 45 nt
Filed under: Schistosoma mansoni
Lineage: Eukaryota; Metazoa; Platyhelminthes; Trematoda; Strigeidida; Schistosomatidae
Source: RNAcentral